AUUCAAGAGAUUAGCAUGAGUACAUCAGAGAUGCCCUGACAGUUGACAGAGUGUUUUUGCUGUGGUUGUGUGUUUGGUAUUCAAAUAGAUCCCUUUUUGAUGAGUAAGAGAGAGCCCCACCCCUUUAAGAACAGGGCUAAACUCCUAUGUGCAUAUACUUAGUUGAGCAGGUUGCAAAGCAGCAAGUCGAUCUCCAACUUGCUCCCACUAAUAGCUGGAAUACUACAGACAAAUUGUAAACACACUACUUUCACAGCAGGGGUGUGCUAUUGCUGCUUUUACUUGCCAUAGGAGUUGGCACAAGUCACACACACACACACAGACACACACACACACAUAUACACCCACGCACGCACGCACACCCACGCACGCACACACACAGACAAACAGUUUCUUCUGCAGGUUUGAACUGCGAUCAAGAUGGGCAAUGAGCAUUCCAAAAACAAGGCUGAGCAGGCUCCAGAAAAGCCCCUGCAUGGAGGUUUGAAUGGCCAUGCUGUAAGCAUCUCAUCCAAUGGCCUGGAGAAUGUUACCAGUGAAGCAGCUGUGGAGCAGAACAGUAUGCCUACCUCACUGCCUCCCUCUGAAGAGUCAGGUAUAGUGGAGGCAGAUGGCAGUGGUCUUGGGCCUGUGGUGGUGGAACAGAAGUCUGCCGUCAAGAAGGUUCCAGAAGUGGAACCAGAGACACAGAAUGCUAAGACUCAAAACACAGCGGAACCGGAACUGGAACCAGCCACCCAAGAGAAGGAGGAGCCCAAGAACAGUACACAAGAAAAAGUGAACAUCUUUGAAAAUCUGUUCAAGAAGAAAGCUAAGCCUCAACCCACCCCCAACCCGGAUCCAGCCCUGGAAAAGGAGGAGCCCAUAAGGGAGAAGAUUGUGGAGGAGAUUGAAAGUUCUGCGGAAGAUCAGAAAGUCCCUGUGGCUGUGACCGAUGGGAUCCAAGCUGAGCCACUUGCUGAGGUAAAGGAGGAUACAGAGACUUCAAAGGAGCGUCCCAACCCUAGUCCAGAGGCAGAGGAGGUCAAAAGCCCCAAAAUUGCAGAGGAAAGCAGUCACAUUCAGGAAAACCAAGAGGGAGAGAGUCAAACAGAAGAUAAUCCAGUUAUGAACUUCUUCAAAACACUAGUGACUCCCAUAAAAAAAAACAAGCAAGAAACAGCCACCCCUGAUGUUGCAAAAGACCAGAAAGAGGCCCAACCAACAACAACUACUGCUGCACAACUAGUGGAUGCAACAGCCAAAGGAGGAAUGUUAAUCCCACCAGCUGCAGCCCCAGCCCCAGCCCCGGCCCCAGCCCCGGCCGCAGCCCCGGCCGCAGCCCCUGCCCCACCCGCAGCCGCAGCCCCAGCCCCAGCCCCACCUAAGAUGGAGGUUAAAGCAGAACUAGCUGCCCAACCUGUGACCAACGCACCAAAAGAAGAACCAAAGGGUGCUGCCAAAGAAGCAGAGGCCGCCAAGCCGAAAUCUGACCGCCCGUUCAGCAGACUUUUCAGCAGAAAGGCACUGAUAGGCCUCAAGUCUAAAAUCAAGGUUAAGUCAACAAGUGGAGCCAGAGCCCCUGCCAAGCCUGCUGCAGCGACAGUGGAACCAGUGGAGCCACAGCCGGUUGUGGAAGUACAGAAUGUAGACUUCUCAAAGACGGCCACUCUGGAGGCCUCUGCCACUCUAGAACCACCACCACCUGCACCAGAGGACGAGAAGACACCUGCUGCCUCCAAAGCCUCUCCUUUCACUUCCUUUUCUCUUUUCAAGACCAUGGCAGCUGUGCCGAAAAAGGAAGUCCCUGCCCCAGCUGCAGAAGCGGUAGCUGGCCCAAGUGUAGCCAAGGAUGAACCAAAGGCCCCAGAGGACCCUGCUGUGGACAGCAAGCCCGUGUCAGGGCCCUCCGAGGUUAUGGAGAAUUCCCCCGUCCUCCCUAAGAGACUGGAGAAGAGGAACUCCAUCCACUUGUUCUUCAAAAACCUGGGCAAACGCCAGUCAGAUGCAGGAGUACAAACAGAACCAGAGAAGACCAAAUAAAACGGAAACACCCUUUCAAACUUCACAUGCCAUAUCUGGAAAUGAACUUUUCAUUUGUUAGAUACAUUAUGUUUCUGAUCACACUAUUGAAGGGAUGAUGGUAAGAGCAAGUGGUUUGAGGGAGAGGGGUGGACUGUGGACUGGUCUGUUCUAGUCUAAUCUAAUCUGUGUGGAUGAUUUCAGAGAAUUGUUCUUUGUGGAGGAGGUAAAAUAUAUUUUCUGGUUUAAAGGCUUGAUAGGUAGAGAAAAGUGGUUUUGUUACAUGUACUGAGAGCAAAAUCCAUUUCUAUACAGUAUUUACCCUUCUUUUAACAUGUCACUUAUUCCACGGAGGGCUGAGUGUCUGCGGGUUUUUGCUCCUCCCUUGAUUGAUUAAUUAAGGUCACUAAUUAGUAAAGAACUCCCCUCACCUGGUUGUCUAAGUCUAAAAACAAAACACCCACAGACACUAAGCCCUUCAUGGAAUGUGUUUGACACCACUGCUUUAACAUAUUAAUAUGUGUAAGGAUCUAAUGCAAAUAUUACGUUUAGCAUAUUUUUUUCCCCUCUUCAUAUACACAUUUUACUAGUCUGAAAAGAACUUGUGGAGUGCAUACAAUGGUUUCAGAUACGUUCAUAGGACGUCUUGGAGAAGAGAUGCAUAAAGCUUAGCUUGAGAUAGAAAUUGAAUAUACUCAAAAUUUAAUGGAGGAGUUGGCGAAAUGGUUGAUAUUCCUGCCAAGAUGUUUUUAUUUAGGCUAGACACAUGCAAUUUACAAUGUAAGCUUUAAACUUUGCAGGAACUGUACACGGAUGCAAAUAUAUGCCAAACACUAAAUUACAAUUUAUGAUUAUAAUCAUACACAGGGGGCGCUCCCAAUCAUUACUUUUUUGGGGAACUACACAGAUCUGGUUGUCUAUAUAGCUAACUGCACAGUCAUGCAUCAUAUUUGAUUAAUGUUUCACUGAAGUAUAAAGGUUUGUUCUAAUUUGGGUGCACUGCUUUACGUGUGUGCCUGUUUGAAUGCAGAUGUUAUAAUCUUGGGGAUCUUGUCUGUUAAUUUCUGCAUCUAUAAUUUGAUAAACUGCAUCUGGAAGUAGAAUGUUUAUUGUGACAGCAAAUUCCAAAUCAUGAAAACCUGCAAUGGGGUAUUGGGGGGGGGGGGGAGUUCUACUGAGCUAACAUAUGGAAUUUUUUUAAGAUCAUACCAUGGAUCCUUUAGCUAUUUAAUUUUUCAUUUAGGUAAAAUAUUGAAUUUGGCUUUUAAUGCUAUAGCCUAUAGAAAUGCAAUGAAUAACACAUUCAUAAAUGGCAAAACGGAGAGUACAAAAAGAAAUAAUAUAUAACGUUUUUGAAGUGUCUGUCCUACAUCUAGGAGAUGUAAUAAUGUUCAGGAUUUACACAUAUUUAACCCAUUUUUUGGGGGUGUCACAAAACUACUUCUAUAUAUUUUUUAUUAUGUUAAUUAAAUUGACGCACGGGUGCGUUGAUGGACUUUAGGGGGUAUUUAAAGCUAUUUUCCUGUAACUGUUUAAAGAGAAUAAAUGUGUACAAUUAUUUGUUUUCUUGUUUUCUAUCUCACAAUUUAGGCCAAAAGUUAUCAGUAUAGGGAAAUAUGAAAACAUAUUUAGAGUGAAAUUAAAUGUCCCUGUAAUAUAGUGAUUUAAUGUUAUCAAACAGUACUAUCAAGUGCUGCAAUAACUGAAAAAGACAUGACCCAACAAGUUUAUCAACACAUCUUGUAUUCCCAAAGUAGGGAGCCAAGCUGUUUUCAGCUAUGUUAGAAGUAUGGAG
Molecule: long non-coding RNA, 3796 nt
Filed under: Salmo salar (Atlantic salmon)
Lineage: Eukaryota; Metazoa; Chordata; Actinopteri; Salmoniformes; Salmonidae
Description: lncRNA (ENSSSAG00000093911.1)
Source: RNAcentral